RNAcentral lists this ribosomal RNA (492 nucleotides) under uncultured bacterium. Its description in RNAcentral is "partial 16S ribosomal RNA". It matches the Rfam family "Bacterial small subunit ribosomal RNA", at positions 29 to 507 of the family's 1533-position model. The record is from RNAcentral.
AGUGAACGCUGGCGGUAGGCCUAACACAUGCAAGUCGAACGGCAGCACAGUAAGAGCUUGCUCUUACGGGUGGCGAGUGGCGGACGGGUGAGGAAUACAUCGGAAUCUACUUUUUCGUGGGGGAUAACGUAGGGAAACUUACGCUAAUACCGCAUACGACCUACGGGUGAAAGCAGGGGAUCUUCGGACCUUGCGCGAUUGAAUGAGCCGAUGUCGGAUUAGCUAGUUGGCGGGGUAAAGGCCCACCAAGGCGACGAUCCGUAGCUGGUCUGAGAGGAUGAUCGGCCACACUGGAACUGAGACACGGUCCAGACUCCUACGGGAGGCAGCAGUGGGGAAUAUUGGACAAUGGGCGCAAGCCUGAUCCGGCCAUACCGCGUGGGUGAAGAAGGCCUUCGGGUUGUAAAGCCCUUUUGUUGGGAAAGAAAAGCAGCAGGUUAAUACCCCGCUGUUCUGACGGUACCCAAAGAAUAAGCACCGGCUAACUUCGUG